GCGGGUAAUCAGUGCUCAGCAUCGCUUCUAGCAUCGGAACCUUCACUCAUCGAUAGGCCUCGUGAAGUACGAGUACCCUCGUUUGGUCAUGAUUUCUUUAGCGAAAAUUGUUACAGUGGCUCCAUAACACGGAAAUGGCAAAUUUCUAUUCAUCUCCAAUUCGCAAUACAUGUCGCUGCCAGAGAACAGUAUUGUGUAAACAGUAUGUCAAAGACUAGCAAAGUUAACAAAAGACUUGUCUUUGCAAGAAGAGGAGCAUUUUGGAGAACUUUUCCAGCAGUUUAAUAAAGAAUAAUAGGUACAUUACAGUUACCAAUUUCCGUGCGCCUUACUUGAGUUCCUCGUGGUGAAAAUUGUUCCACUUCGCAGGAAAGAAAGAACAAGAAAAGCUCGCCAGUUAAACAAAUUUUCCAUCCAAGUGCGACCGAAAGCAUUUAGGAAUCUUUGCUGCUUUUACGUGGAGGCCUGGCAAGGACCUACAAUUCUUCUCUUCUAAAACGGAAAACUAGAUGAAGCAAUAUGGAUGAGGCGUCGUAAAUCAAGCAUGGUAGUGUACGGAAAUAAAAGGGAAAAAAGGAAAGAAUUACGUAAAGUCUUCUGAUAUCCUCGUGACACGCCUUGUAGAUAUGGGCCACAAGCUUGGAGGGCAAAGACAGGAUCAAAGUGAGGGAAACGAAACUUAGUUAUGGGAGAAAGACAGUUGAAAAUCAAUGUUAAAGGUAACAACUGUAAGCUAAACUUACCAACUACGUUUUCCGCAGAACGAAUUUGGUCACGAAUUGCUGAAAAAUUACGGAAAAUUUCUUUGAGAACACAUCACAGAGCUCUGAAAGAUAAGUUUUAAUUGUCAGGUGAUGAGCAAAAUUUAUGUCUCAUUUCAAGUUAAGACUAUUUGUGAAGGAGCUCGAGGUAAUUUGGCAAAAUGAACACAAUCAAGUGAUAUCGGCAAAUGUUGAAAAUCUAAAAAAGUUAAGUUGUCAGGAGGGACGCUUCCAGUGACUGCUAAAAAAUUCGUAUUGCAUCACAAGUGUAGUGAAAACGUCUGGGGACUUAAAAUGCUAAGUUUCAUUAAAUAUUUGGAAGUAAUUUGGCAUGACGAAAUACAAAAUAAAAAAAAAAUACGGAAGAUGUAAACAAUGAUUGCUUGAAAAGCUUUUCUUUGGAAAACGCUACAACGUCAAUUCCAUGAAAUAUUUUGAUCACAUUGAUUAUUACGCCAA
Pocillopora verrucosa is the source of this 1220-nucleotide long non-coding RNA. RefSeq lists it as uncharacterized. NCBI's taxonomy places the organism in Eukaryota, Metazoa, Cnidaria, Anthozoa, Scleractinia, Pocilloporidae. The record is from RefSeq and is a predicted model, not a curated record.